AGGAUGAACGCUGGCGGCGUGCUUAACACAUGCAAGUCGAACGAUGAACCUCACUUGUGGGGGGAUUAGUGGCGAACGGGUGAGUAACACGUGAGUAACCUGCCCUUAACUCUGGGAUAAGCCUUGGAAACGGGGUCUAAUACCGGAUAUUUACGAUUGAUCGCAUGGUUGGUUGUGGAAAGAUUUAUUGGUUUUGGAUGGACUCGCGGCCUAUCAGCUUGUUGGUGAGGUAAUGGCUUACCAAGGCGACGACGGGUAGCCGGCCUGAGAGGGUGACCGGCCACACUGGGACUGAGACACGGCCCAGACUCCUACGGGAGGCAGCAGUGGGGAAUAUUGCACAAUGGGCGCAAGCCUGAUGCAGCGACGCCGCGUGAGGGAUGAAGGCCUUCGGGUUGUAAACCUCUUUCAGUAGGGAACAAGGCCGGCUUUGGUUGGUUGAGGGUACCUGCAGAAGAAGCGCGGCUAACUACGUGUCAGCAGCCGCGGU
Molecule: ribosomal RNA, 490 nt
Filed under: uncultured bacterium
Lineage: Bacteria
Description: SSU rRNA
Rfam family: Bacterial small subunit ribosomal RNA
Source: RNAcentral